Long non-coding RNA from Tupaia belangeri chinensis (Chinese tree shrew), 362 nucleotides. RefSeq lists it as uncharacterized. The transcript is spliced from 3 exons. NCBI's taxonomy places the organism in Eukaryota, Metazoa, Chordata, Mammalia, Scandentia, Tupaiidae. The record is from RefSeq and is a predicted model, not a curated record.
CCAAACAUCGCCGCCACCUGGCUGAGAAAGAUGGGGAGGCUCCGACUGUCCCUUGAAGGAAGCGGAAGUAACAGUGGUCUACAAAGGGCAGAGGCUGGGACUGCUGAGAGGUGCUUUUGGAGAGCAGCUGUGAGAAUUACCGAGGCAUCUGGCUCCCCCUGUGGAAUGCUGACCUAAGUCUGGUCACCACAGAGAGAAUAUUAACUGGAAGAUAUUUUGGCAUGAUACAAACUGAAAGGAAUAGUCUCAGCUCCACGAGUGCCCAUCACAUGCCUCAGAGACUACAGAGACAAGUCUACCUGGAAUGCUUAACAAGGACUGUCUGAAGGGAUAUAAUAAAAAUUAAAGUUCAACUUUGUCUU